RNAcentral lists this long non-coding RNA (798 nucleotides) under Homo sapiens (human). Its description in RNAcentral is "HSALNT0056685". The record is from RNAcentral. Lineage: Eukaryota; Metazoa; Chordata; Mammalia; Primates; Hominidae.
UUUUAAUCUUAUACGAAUUUCAUAUGAAAAAUGAGAAAAGCAUCCACUCAUCAUACAAAAGGGACACGAGUGAGUUUGGACUGAAAAAAAGAUGACAAAAAGGAAAAAGAACCCAGCCAAUAAUGCAGCAAAAUUCUAUUCUUUGACGGUCUUAUCCACUGGAAUAGUCAGAGCAGGAGCAUUCCACUUCUGAGCAUUAUGAUCCCCAAGCUCACAGAGUCUAACAACUUCUCCAAAGAGGGAGUUGGGUAUACGACUAUUCCAUCACUCCAGCUUGAAAUUAGCCACCCGAGGGCAUCACCUUUGCCAUCUUGAAGUUAUUAAAAGUAUCAGGACCUAAAGAACAAACUAUAAAAUACUGAAACACACCAUGCAAAUAUACGCACAUUACUCUGCUAAAUAUCGGAACCAAAGUAAUCUAUUUAGAGAAAAGGGGUGAGAGGUGGCCUUUUUACUAAUCUCCAAGAGUGCUUGUGAAUUAAUUCAAACCUGGUAAAAUCUUUCACUUGAAGGAAUCAAGGUUGUUAUGUUACGGGACCCUCCGUUAAAGAAACAGAGGCUUUGAAGGUACUGCCCUGUCUUCACAAGUUAUUUAUUCUUGGGAAGAGAACAUCAAAACUGCUCCAAUUCCUUUCAGAAAAAGUGCUUAUUUUAUAUGUUUUAUUUUGAGAACCAAUCUGCCAAAAUUACUUUAAUCUUCUGAAUCAUUCUUAAAAACUUUAAAGAAUUAAAUUCUCAAAUAUUCUCUUUGAAUAAGAAAAGAAAAUGAGGUGACAGUUCAAUGCGCCAUCAAGGAAC